UGUUUGCCUUGGCCAGGGUCA
This 21-nucleotide unclassified non-coding RNA is filed under the name Mus musculus (house mouse). RNAcentral's name for it is "oocyte_clustered_small_RNA11938". Lineage: Eukaryota; Metazoa; Chordata; Mammalia; Rodentia; Muridae. The record is from RNAcentral.